This 407-nucleotide ribosomal RNA is filed under the name Deckenia mitis. RNAcentral describes it as "partial 16S ribosomal RNA". Lineage: Eukaryota; Metazoa; Arthropoda; Malacostraca; Decapoda; Deckeniidae. The record is from RNAcentral.
UUUUUAAUUGAAAUCUAGAAUGAAUGGUGGACAAAAAGAAUACUGUCUUUGUUUUAAAAAUUUAACUUAACUUUUAAGGAAAAGGCUUAAAUAAUCUAAAAAGACGAUAAGACCCUAUAAAACUUUAUAUUAAAAUUAAUUUAUAUAUUGAAGUUUAAAAAUAAAAAUUUAAAUUAAUUAUUAUAUUAUGUUGGGGAGACAAAAAUAUAAAGUUACAUAACAUUAUAAAGUAAAACAUAAGAUAAAUGAUUAUUAUAGAUUGAUCCUUUUUAAAGAUUAAAAGAUUAAGUUACUUUAGGGAUAACAGCGUUAUUUUUUUUGAGAGUUCAUAUCGAAAAAAGAGAUUGCGACCUCGAUGUUGAGUUAAUAUAUCUAUAUGGCGUAGAAGUUAUAUUAGAGGGUCUGUU